ACGAAGUACUAUUUUGGUAUGAGCACAUUGGCCAUCGCCGCAUCAGUAGAACACGCCUGACUCUCCUCCACCAGUCAUACAAGGAGAAUGGUCUAAUGCCUCCCAUCAAAAAGAGAGCUGACCCAUGCAAGCAAUGGCAGCAGUGCAGUCAUCAACCACAUGCACCAUUUCUUCACCAACUACGGAGUUGGGGAAACACGUGUGGUACUGAAUUGUGAUAACUGCAGUGGCCAAAACAAGAACAAGUUUGUGCUCUGGUAUUGUGCCUGGUGAACCAUGCACAAGCUCCACCACAGUCUGGACCUUCACCUCCCGAUCACAGGCCACAACAAGUUUGCCCCCGACUGCUGCUUCGGCCUCAUCAAGCAGCGCUUCAGAAAGACAAGAGUGAACACUUUGUCUGAGAUUGCUGGUGUUGUGAAGGACAGCACUGUGAUAGGGGUCAACAUCCCACAGUUGGUUGGACUGGAGGAUGGUACGGCGCUGGUGGAAAGUUAUGGCUGGCAACAACACCUGACUCCUUACUUCAUGCCGCUGCCACAGAUCAAGCAGCACCAGCACUUCAG
This 566-nucleotide long non-coding RNA is filed under the name Salmo salar (Atlantic salmon). Its description in RNAcentral is "lncRNA (ENSSSAG00000089232.1)". Lineage: Eukaryota; Metazoa; Chordata; Actinopteri; Salmoniformes; Salmonidae. The record is from RNAcentral.